GUAGGUGGCAAGCGUUGUCCGGAGUUAUUGGGCGUAAAGCGCGCGCAGGUGGUUCUUUAAGUCUGAUGUGAAAGCCCCCGGCUCAACCGGGGAGGGUCAUUGGAAACUGGGGAACUUGAGUGCAGGAGAGGAAAGUGGAAUUCCACGUGUAGCGGUGAAAUGCGUAGAUAUGUGGAGGAACACCAGUGGCGAAGGCGACUUUCUGGCCUGUAACUGACACUGAGGCGCGAAAGCGUGGGGAGCAAACAGGGAUUAGAUACCCUGGUAGUCCACGCCGUAAACGAUGAGUGCUAAGUGUUGGGGGGGUUUCCCGCCCCUCAGUGCUGCAGCUAACGCAUUAAGCACUCCGCCUGGGGAGUACGGUCGCAAGACUG
Molecule: ribosomal RNA, 374 nt
Filed under: uncultured organism
Description: partial 16S ribosomal RNA
Rfam family: Bacterial small subunit ribosomal RNA
Source: RNAcentral